UGGGGAAUUUUGCACAAUGGGCGCAAGCCUGAUGCAGCGACGCCGCGUGAGGGAUGAAGGCCUUCGGGUUGUAAACCUUUUUCGCUCAUGGUCAAGCCGCAGCUUUGGGUUGUGGUGAGGGUAGUGGGUAAAGAAGCGCCGGCUAACUACGUGCCAGCAGCCGCGGUAAUACGUAGGGCGCGAGCGUUUUCCGGAAUUAUUGGGCGUAAAGGGCGUGUAGGCGGUUGGCCGCGCGUGCCGUGAAAUCCUCUGGCUUAACUGGGGGCGUGAGGUGGGUACGGGUUGACUUGAGUGCGGUAGGGGAGACUGGAAUUCCUGGUGUAGCGGUGGAAUGCGCAGAUAUCAGGAGGAACACCGGUGGCGAAGGCGGGUCUCUGGGCCGUUACUGACGCUGAGGAGCGAAAGCGUGGGGAGCGAACAGG
RNAcentral lists this ribosomal RNA (422 nucleotides) under bacterium. Its description in RNAcentral is "partial 16S ribosomal RNA". It matches the Rfam family "Bacterial small subunit ribosomal RNA", at positions 355 to 776 of the family's 1533-position model. The record is from RNAcentral.